AAAAAAAAAAAAAAAAAACCUGUAAAUUUAGGGUGAAUUUGAAACUAUUUAUAAGAAAAAGGUGAAUUUAGAAAAAUGUGAAACUAUUGUCUCCAUUUCCUCAACGAGCAAGUUGUCCUCCUCGUGAGGAUUAUUCAAAGUAUGUGAAAAUAUUACUGUGCUAUGAACUUGAGUAUUAUGAUUAUCCAUGGUGAGGAUUGUAGAAACUGAGUUCAUGUUCCCCACGCUGAUAAAUGAACGCCUGGCCUGUCCUGUGUGCUAGGACUCCACUCUGAUGGUUAAGUAAAUGAAAAGCUAGGUGAAAAAUAAAUAUCAAUGGUGG
This 322-nucleotide unclassified non-coding RNA is filed under the name Hevea brasiliensis (rubber tree). Lineage: Eukaryota; Viridiplantae; Streptophyta; Magnoliopsida; Malpighiales; Euphorbiaceae. The record is from RNAcentral.